CUUUAGACCUCCCCCCUGGGGUUGCUCCCCCAACAAGCCAGAGUCGCACCACCAAGGUACACCGAGACAGCCGCAGCGUUUGUCGACCCUACGCCGGCACGCUGGGCUUCCUGCAUCACGGCGCCUCAGAGGCCCAAACGCAGCCCGCACCACACACGCCGCACCAUGGCUCUCCCACACCAUCGCCCCCGCCCACCCUCUGUGUUAGCGCCCACAAGAACAAGUCCAAGAUGGCCAGGCGUGCAUGCCCAGUCGCACAACCAUCCCUCCUGGACCCUCUUCACCUCAUGAUGGUGGUGGACCCCCCGAGUGUGCAGCGCAACCGGACGCCGGCACGGCACCACGCCAUCCGUGCUCAUCGCACCACACUCCCCACAUUCUCCGCGGGCACGGAUGUCAUGCAGGCCACGCUACAAUUCGUCCUCUGCAAGGUGGCGCGCUGGACACUGGAGCAUGCCAGGUAGCUGGAUGAGCAUCCCCCAACACAAGGCGCACACGCGCCGGUGCGCGGCACCGCGACCAGCAUCGGCUCUCCGCUGCACGCACGUGCCUAGAGGAGCAUCGCCACCCCCGUCUUCUCCGCGUGCACAUCCAGCCCACGCGCCGCAUCGGUCCGAACGCUGCCGAGGUCAACAAAGUACCCACGACUCGGCCUGCCGAGCGCAGAGGGGUCUGCCCGCACGAAUGCGGCCCGUCAAAGGAUCGCCUCCGCUACUCCUCCAUGGCACGGCUGGAGUCAGCGUUGCUCCACGGUGCCGCCGUGUGGUCAGAGGGUGCUGGUCGAAAACUGCACGAGGGCCCUGUGCACCUUCACGCCAUAGCAGUACCAGUCAUCGUGGCUACCCCAAAAUGCGCACACAGUGGGCACACCCACUCGAAGAGGCCAAGCUCCGCACGCGCGUUGCGCAUCUCUCCCCUACCCGCUGUUGCGCAGAUGGUACAGCACAGACAGACAGCAAGUCAGGUGCGGCCGCGGUGCGCUAUAGCAAUCAUGCACGCACAGGUGCACACGGGCAAGGGGCGGCGGCGCCCUUGCGCGCCGCUGCUGCGCUGAGCGUGCAGCAGUGGUGCUCGUGCCUGACCUGCUGCGAGGACAAGCCAAUCAUCCAAGAUACGGAAGAGCAGGUGCGGCUGCUGCCACGAGCUCGCUCUCCCCCCUCAUGGGCGCUUUCAUUAGGGCCCCUACAAGGGUGGAAAGUGGCGCAUUGCGACGUGUUUGGUUCCAAAUCCUGGCGCUCGUGGUCCGUCGCGUGCGGCUCUCAUUUCAGUUUGUCUGCCGCCAUUGUGCAGUGAAGCACGGCGGCAAUGUAUGCAAGCUUGCGACAUCGGCACCGUCAGAGGAGUGGACGCCAACUGCAUGGAUCACGGACAGUGGUCUCCAGUCUCCGACGCCAGGCCGACAUCCCUCAUUGCCUGCACGGCAGGCGUCAUCGCUUGUGCCCUCGAGAAGGGCCGUAGACGCGGCCCGCGUGGAUCAAGAAAUGCAAUCCACCCAGGGCUGUCUGGCACCUAUCGAGAAGCAGGCAUACGAAGAAGGGACGAGGAAGCGCGGGAAGAACCUGUACGAUGCAUGGCGCCGAUUCGACGGCAGAUGGUUUGUCCUAGAGGACCAGGAUUGUAGCCGUAGCGCAGCAGAGGUACUACGGUACGCUGUGGUUGUGUGUACGCGUACACUUUGGCGGACUUGCUCGUGGUGGUGGGAUGGACACGUCGGCAGGAAAAAAGAGGAUCAUUGCAUGUGUGAGUUCAGAGGUGGGGCAACCGCUGCACUGUUCCACCACCACCACCACCACACUCCCUACAGCAACAGCUGUGCACACAGGCAUAC
RNAcentral lists this unclassified non-coding RNA (1828 nucleotides) under Leishmania donovani. RNAcentral's name for it is "gene:unknown". The record is from RNAcentral. Lineage: Eukaryota; Euglenozoa; Kinetoplastea; Trypanosomatida; Trypanosomatidae.